Molecule: small RNA, 433 nt
Filed under: Caenorhabditis elegans
Lineage: Eukaryota; Metazoa; Nematoda; Chromadorea; Rhabditida; Rhabditidae
Description: Unclassified non-coding RNA T26E3.17
Source: RNAcentral
GGUCUCUGCAAUCAUCGACGUGGACAUUGUGCCAGAAGCUCAUCGCCGUGUCCGUCUCUGCAAGCACGGACAAGAACGACCACUUGGAUUCUAUAUUCGGUAUCGAUUUUUCUGGAAAUUUCAGAUUUCUUGCCAGAAAAUCCCAAAAAUCUGCAAUUCUUUUUUCAGUGACGGAACAUCGGUUCGAGUGACAGAACGAGGCGUCGUCAAAGUUUCAGGAAUUUUCAUUUCCCGGCUUGUCGAUGGUGGGCUCGCCGAGUCCACAGGCCUUCUUGGUGUUAAUGACGAGGUUUUUAAUGGAAUUUUCAGAGUUUUUAAUCUAAAAAUUCCGGUUUUCAGGUGCUCGAGGUGAAUGGAAUUGAGGUUCUCGGAAAGACGCUGGAUCAGGUCACUGAUAUGAUGGUCGCCAAUGCUCAUAACUUGAUUAUUACUG